This 314-nucleotide ribosomal RNA is filed under the name uncultured bacterium. RNAcentral's name for it is "bacterial SSU rRNA". It matches the Rfam family "Bacterial small subunit ribosomal RNA", at positions 28 to 334 of the family's 1533-position model. The record is from RNAcentral.
GAUAAACGCUGGCGGCGCACAUAAGACAUGCAAGUCGAACGAACUUAACCUAUAGUUUACUAUUGGAGCGGUUAGUGGCGGACUGGUGAGUAACGCGUGAGCAAUCUGCCUUUCAGAGGGGGAUAACAGCCGGAAACGGCUGCUAAUACCGCAUAAUGCAUUGGAUUCGCAUGUUUCUGAUGCCAAAGAUUUUAUCGCUGAAAGAUGAGCUCGCGUCUGAUUAGCUAGUUGGCGGGGUAACGGCCCACCAAGGCGACGAUCAGUAGCCGGACUGAGAGGUUGAACGGCCACAUUGGGACUGAGACACGGCCCAG